UCCCUGGUGCUCCAGUGGUUAAGAUUCUGUACUCCCAGUGCAGGGACCUGGGUUUGAUCCCUGGUCAGGGAA
RNAcentral lists this transfer RNA (72 nucleotides) under Ovis aries (sheep). It matches the Rfam family "tRNA". From Rfam's summary of the family: Transfer RNA (tRNA) molecules are approximately 80 nucleotides in length. Lineage: Eukaryota; Metazoa; Chordata; Mammalia; Artiodactyla; Bovidae. The record is from Rfam by way of RNAcentral.